GAUGAACGCUGGCGGCGUGCCUAAUACAUGCAAGUCGAGCGAACGGACGAGAAGCUUGCUUCUCUGAUGUUAGCGGCGGACGGGUGAGUAACACGUGGAUAACCUACCUAUAAGACUGGGAUAACUUCGGGAAACCGGAGCUAAUACCGGAUAAUAUUUUGAACCGCAUGGUUCAAAAGUGAAAGACGGUCUUGCUGUCACUUAUAGAUGGAUCCGCGCUGCAUUAGCUAGUUGGUAAGGUAACGGCUUACCAAGGCAACGAUGCAUAGCCGACCUGAGAGGGUGAUCGGCCACACUGGAAGUGAGACACGGUACAGACUCCUACGGGAGGCAGCAGUAGGGAAUCUUACGCAAUGGGCGAAAGCCUGACGGAGCAACGCCGCGUGAGUGAUGAAGGUCUUCGGAUCGUAAAACUCUGUUAUUAGGGAAGAACAUAUGUGUAAGUAACUGUGCACAUCUUGACGGUACCUAAUCAGAAAGCCACGGCUAACUACGUG
Molecule: ribosomal RNA, 497 nt
Filed under: uncultured bacterium
Lineage: Bacteria
Description: partial 16S ribosomal RNA
Rfam family: Bacterial small subunit ribosomal RNA
Source: RNAcentral